AUUGAACGCUGGCGGCAGGCUUAACACAUGCAAGUCGAGCGGGGUGAUGGUGCUUGCACUAUCACUUAGCGGCGGACGGGUGAGUAAUGCUUAGGAAUCUGCCUAUUAGUGGGGGACAACAUCUCGAAAGGGAUGCUAAUACCGCAUACGUCCUACGGGAGAAAGCAGGGGAUCACUUGUGACCUUGCGCUAAUAGAUGAGCCUAAGUCGGAUUAGCUAGUUGGUGGGGUAAAGGCCUACCAAGGCGACGAUCUGUAGCGGGUCUGAGAGGAUGAUCUGCCACUCUGGGACUGAGACACGGCCCAGACUCCUACGGGAGGCAGCAGUGGGGAAUAUUGGACAAUGGGGGGAACCCUGAUCCAGCCAUGCCGCGUGUGUGAAGAAGGCCUUAUGGUUGUAAAGCACUUUAAGCGAGGAGGAGGCUCUUUUGGUUAAUACCCAAGAUGAGUGGACGUUACUCGCAGAAUAAGCACCGGCUAACUCUGUGCCAGCCGCCGCGGUAA
Molecule: ribosomal RNA, 503 nt
Filed under: uncultured bacterium
Lineage: Bacteria
Description: partial 16S ribosomal RNA
Rfam family: Bacterial small subunit ribosomal RNA
Source: RNAcentral